CCUACGGGAGUCAGCAGUGGGGGAUAUUGCACAAUGGGGGAAACCCUGAUGCAGCGCCGCCGCGUGGGUGAAGAAGCGCCUCGGCGCGUAAAGCCCUGUCAGCAGGGAAGAAAAUGACGGUACCUGAAGAAGAAGCCCCGGCUAACUACGUGCCAGCAGCCGCGUGAAUACGUAGGGGGCACGCGUUAUCAGGAUUUACUGGGUGUAAAGGGGGCGCAGACGGCGAUGCAAGCCAGGAGUGAAAGCCCGGGGCCCAACCCCGGGACUGCUCUUGGAACUGCGUGGCGAGAGUGCAGGAGGGGCAGGCGGAAUUCCUGGUGUAGCGGUGAAAUGCGUAGAUAUCAGGAGGAACACCGGUGGCGAAGGCGGCCUGCUGGACUGCAACUGACGUUGAGGCCCGAAAGCGUGGGGAGCAAACAGGAUUAGAUACCCGGGUAGUC
RNAcentral lists this ribosomal RNA (440 nucleotides) under uncultured bacterium. RNAcentral's name for it is "partial 16S ribosomal RNA". It matches the Rfam family "Bacterial small subunit ribosomal RNA", at positions 338 to 795 of the family's 1533-position model. The record is from RNAcentral.